RNAcentral lists this ribosomal RNA (1491 nucleotides) under uncultured organism. RNAcentral describes it as "SSU rRNA". It matches the Rfam family "Bacterial small subunit ribosomal RNA". The record is from RNAcentral.
UGGCGGCGUGCCUAAUACAUGCAAGUCGAACGAGUUCUGAUUAUUGAAAGGUGCUUGCAUCUUGAUUUAAUUUUGAACGAGUGGCGGACGGGUGAGUAACACGUGGGUAACCUGCCCUUAAGUGGGGGAUAACAUUUGGAAACAGAUGCUAAUACCGCAUAAAUCCAAAAACCGCAUGGUUCUUGGCUGAAAGAUGGCGUAAGCUAUCGCUUUUGGAUGGACCCGCGGCGUAUUAGCUAGUUGGUGAGGUAACGGCUCACCAAGGCAAUGAUACGUAGCCGAACUGAGAGGUUGAUCGGCCACAUUGGGACUGAGACACGGCCCAAACUCCUACGGGAGGCAGCAGUAGGGAAUCUUCCACAAUGGACGCAAGUCUGAUGGAGCAACGCCGCGUGAGUGAAGAAGGCUUUCGGGUCGUAAAACUCUGUUGUUGGAGAAGAAUGGUCGGCAGAGUAACUGUUGUCGGCGUGACGGUAUCCAACCAGAAAGCCACGGCUAACUACGUGCCAGCAGCCGCGGUAAUACGUAGGUGGCAAGCGUUAUCCGGAUUUAUUGGGCGUAAAGCGAGCGCAGGCGGUUUUUUAAGUCUGAUGUGAAAGCCCUCGGCUUAACCGAGGAAGUGCAUCGGAAACUGGGAAACUUGAGUGCAGAAGAGGACAGUGGAACUCCAUGUGUAGCGGUGAAAUGCGUAGAUAUAUGGAAGAACACCAGUGGCGAAGGCGGCUGUCUGGUCUGUAACUGACGCUGAGGCUCGAAAGCAUGGGUAGCGAACAGGAUUAGAUACCCUGGUAGUCCAUGCCGUAAACGAUGAAUGCUAGGUGUUGGAGGGUUUCCGCCCUUCAGUGCCGCAGCUAACGCAUUAAGCAUUCCGCCUGGGGAGUACGACCGCAAGGUUGAAACUCAAAGGAAUUGACGGGGGCCCGCACAAGCGGUGGAGCAUGUGGUUUAAUUCGAAGCAACGCGAAGAACCUUACCAGGUCUUGACAUCUUUUGAUCACCUGAGAGAUCAGGUUUCCCCUUCGGGGGCAAAAUGACAGGUGGUGCAUGGUUGUCGUCAGCUCGUGUCGUGAGAUGUUGGGUUAAGUCCCGCAACGAGCGCAACCCUUAUGACUAGUUGCCAGCAUUUAGUUGGGCACUCUAGUAAGACUGCCGGUGACAAACCGGAGGAAGGUGGGGAUGACGUCAAAUCAUCAUGCCCCUUAUGACCUGGGCUACACACGUGUUACAAUGGAUGGUACAACGAGUUGCGAGACCGCGAGGUCAAGCUAAUCUCUUAAAGCCAUUCUCAGUUCGGACUGUAGGCUGCAACUCGCCUACACGAAGUCGGAAUCGCUAGUAAUCGCGGAUCAGCACGCCGCGGUGAAUACGUUCCCGGGCCUUGUACACACCGCCCGUCACACCAUGAGAGUUUGUAACACCCGAAGCCGGUGGCGUAACCCUUUUAGGGAGCGAGCCGUCUAAGGUGGGACAAAUGAUUAGGGUGAAGUCGUA